CCGCACUGGAGCGGCUUCUCCCGCUGCCGUCUUCGCGCAGGGUUGAGUUUGUGCAUCGAUUGUGAACACAACAGGCAGCAGGCUAUAAUGGUGGUCCUGGCUGGAGUAGUUUUCACAGACUUCAGUAAUCUGUGGAGAUGAACGGGCAGUUCUCUGUAGUUUUCACAGAUCACUGCCAGUUCGUUUUGAGGCCUUCAGGAGUGAAGACCUGGCUCAUCAUCACUCUUUGUUGUUUUGUUAAAUUUAUUUACACCCUACUUUAUUCCAGAGGAAAGGAUUUAACGUAGUUUACAUAAAUGUGUACAUCAGGGUAAAUUAAAAAUAAGUACAGAGAAAAAUAGGACAAAAGAAAACCGUGAGUGUGAAAGAUAAGAUUAAGCCAGCAGUUUUGUAUGCAAAAUGCAUGGUGUAAGGUCCUAUUGGUUUGCUGGAGGUAGGCCACACAUAUGACUCUCAGUUUUCUAGCAACCAAGAAAAAGAUCAGUUGCAAUCGGAGUAGGUGUUUUGGCUAAGCUGGAACUAGGACUUGAAUAUAGCAGCUUGUAGAGUUAUACCACUUGCCCAAAUCUCUUCCAUGAGCCUCUUUAAGUGUAACAGAAUGCCUGGGAGCACGUAAAUGCUCCUACUUAGAUGCCUACUUAGCCUCUAAUUUUCAUGGGGCCCAUGAAUCCCAUGAAAAAGAACUUUGAACCCUGUCCACAAUUAGAGUUCAGGUAUACGCAGACAUGUUUAAAGACAAGGGACACCCAAAGGAAAGAUUGCACAGAGAGAAAGUGAGCAUCCGAGAGAAAAUCACCACAAGUGAGGCAGAGGGAGGCCGGUCUCAGCAGAGUUUUGGAGGUCGUGAGAAGAAGAGGUAGGAGAUAGGAGAGUGGUUCCGAGUACUUGCCUGCUGAUGUUACCUUCUCCACCCCCACCAGGUUUUCCAGUGCCUGGAGUCUUGGGCAGGAAUGGGCCACUGUAAGAAAGAGCUUUAUCACUAGGGCCUCAGCCAACUUUUCUGUGGGAUAUCCCUCCAAAAUAAUUAAGAGUUCAGAAUGCUUCAGAUUUUGAAGUGAAACUGAUAAUGUCUGUGCCUAUCAGAUAAAGGCAAACCAGUGCUCAGAGGAACCCAACCAUCUCUGAAUUGAGACCAGAGAGCUGUCUCUAUGGAUAGUCCUUAGAGAAGGCAUUUCGGAACACAGUAAACAGCAGCCUGGUGACUCCGAUUACAGGGCCAGUUGCCUUUGUUACAAUAAAAGCAAGUCAUCUACACAGAUUUUUCCUACCAGGAAGAGCAUGUGCUGACCAACAGACAUGAAUUUCAGCCUGGUAGUUACAACAUUCACAGGAGUUUCACUCGUUGCCCAGGCUGGAGUGCAACGGCGCGAUCUCAGCUCACUGCAACCUCCGCCUCCCCAGUUCAAGCGAUUCUCCUGCCUCAGCCUCCUGAGUCACUGGAAUUACGGGCGCCUGACACCACGCCCAGCUAAUUUUUUGUAUUUUUAGUAGACAUGGGGUUUCACUAUGUUGGCCAGGCUGGUCUCGAACUCCUGACCUCAUGAUCCUCCUGCCUCAGCCUCCCAAAGCACUGGGAUUACAGGUGUGAGCCACUGUGCCUGGUCCAUUAAAAACAUUUGUAAAGCUAUGGUGUUGAUAAAGUAUUAUGAAAGACUGCAAAAAAAGAUGGCUAAUUUUUAGUUAUUAUUGCACAUGUUUAGAGGAGCUAAUGACAUUUUCUAUGAUUAAUAAAAGACAUUAUUUAUGUUUUUAUUUAUGUAUUCCACAACAUUUAUUUUAUUUUCUCCAUUUCAGGAAAACCACUAUGUUGUUACAAUAAAGAUUUUCAUGUAAUUUGUGUUCAAUUGAUAGUAAUAAUGUAACAAGUUAAAAAUGAAGGUAAUUGUGUUUAAAAUUUGAGCAUAUUUUCAUCAAAAUGUAAGUUAAAGUGAUUGUAAAUUUUAAGAUCAUAAUUACUUUGUAUAUCUUCAAGAAAAUUAUUGUUUUAAAAUAUUUAUGCCUAUUAAAAUUAGAAGGCAAAAUAAAAAUAUAUGAAUACCAACAUUUUAAAUAAAAAUCAUUUAAAUAA
Molecule: long non-coding RNA, 2068 nt
Filed under: Homo sapiens (human)
Lineage: Eukaryota; Metazoa; Chordata; Mammalia; Primates; Hominidae
Description: HSALNT0029360
Source: RNAcentral